RNAcentral lists this ribosomal RNA (872 nucleotides) under uncultured Neocallimastigales. RNAcentral's name for it is "partial large subunit ribosomal RNA". It matches the Rfam family "Eukaryotic large subunit ribosomal RNA", at positions 20 to 618 of the family's 3401-position model. Lineage: Eukaryota; Fungi; Neocallimastigomycota; Neocallimastigomycetes; Neocallimastigales. The record is from RNAcentral.
UACUAGAGUAGCACUCGCAUAUCAAUAAGCGGAGGAAAAGAAACUAACAAGGAUUCCCCUAGUAACGGCGAGUGAAGCGGGAAGAGCUCAAAUUUGAAAUCUUAAAGGGUUUCCCUUUACGAAUUGUAGUUUAAAGAAGUGUUUUCUGUUGAGGUUUUGGUAAAAGUUCUUUGGAAUAGGACAUCAUAGAGGGUGAGAAUCCCGUAUUUGACCUUUACUUUCAACUUUGUGAUACACUUUCAAAGAGUCGGAUUGUUUGGGAAUGCAGUCCAAAAUGGGUGGUAAAUUUCAUCUAAAGCUAAAUAUUGGCGAGAGACCGAUAGCGAACAAGUACCGUGAGGGAAAGAUGAAAAGAACUUUGAAAAGAGAGUUAAACAAUACGUGAAAUUGUCAAAAGGGAAGCGUUUGACACCAGUGUUGUUUUUCUGAAAAUCAAUUAAAGAACUGUUUAUGCUAAGCUGUUUAGACUUUAUCAGCUAUCUGUUUAGUUUUGAGCUUUUCUUUAAUGCACUUUUCAGUUAACAAGUCAACAUCAAUUUCUUUUGCUGUAAAAAAGCUUGAGGAAGGUGGCUUGAGAUUCGUCUUAAGUGUUUAUAGCCUCUUGCCUAUGCAGUCGGAGAGAUUGAGGUCUGCAGCGUAGAUCCUUCGGGGCUAAAUGCAUUUGUGCUGAGUUAUAGCAUUUUCAUAGACAACUUGUUGACUAUGAUUUGUCUUGUAGCUUACUCGCUUAUGUUAUUUUACCUACGCUUAGGAUGUUGACACACGCGCGUGCUCGGCUCUAUACAUGACUCUGUGCAUAUCAAUAAGCGGAGGAAAAGCGCAUUAAAGAUCCAGAUACCUACGCUUAGGAUGUUGAGUCAUCACACAUCUCU